UACGUUCCCGGGUCUUGUACACACCGCCCGUCACACCAUGGGAGCGGGUUUUACCAGAAGUAGGUAGCCUUAACCGGUAAGGAGGGCGCUUACCACGGUAGGGAUUCGUGACUGGGGUG
RNAcentral lists this ribosomal RNA (119 nucleotides) under uncultured bacterium. RNAcentral describes it as "partial 16S ribosomal RNA". It matches the Rfam family "Bacterial small subunit ribosomal RNA", at positions 1367 to 1482 of the family's 1533-position model. The record is from RNAcentral.